RNAcentral lists this ribosomal RNA (371 nucleotides) under Escherichia coli. RNAcentral describes it as "partial 23S ribosomal RNA". It matches the Rfam family "Bacterial large subunit ribosomal RNA", at positions 1518 to 1869 of the family's 2925-position model. The record is from RNAcentral. Lineage: Bacteria; Pseudomonadati; Pseudomonadota; Gammaproteobacteria; Enterobacterales; Enterobacteriaceae.
GUGUAGGCUGGUUUUCCAGGCAAAUCCGGAAAAUCAAGGCUGAGGCGUGAUGACGAGGCACUGCGGUGCUGAAGCAACAAAUGCCCUGCUUCCAGGAAAAGCCUCUAAGCAUCAGGUAACAUCAAAUCGUACCCCAAACCGACACAGGUGGUCAGGUAGAGAAUACCAAGGCGCUUGAGAGAACUCGGGUGAAGGAACUAGGCAAAAUGGUGCCGUAACUUCGGGAGAAGGCACGCUGAUAUGUAGGUGAAGUCCCUCGCGGAUGGAGCUGAAAUCAGUCGAAGAUACCAGCUGGCUGCAACUGUUUAUUAAAAACACAGCACUGUGCAAACACGAAAGUGGACGUAUACGGUGUGACGCCUGCCCGGUGC